Molecule: long non-coding RNA, 627 nt
Organism: Gadus macrocephalus (Pacific cod)
Lineage: Eukaryota; Metazoa; Chordata; Actinopteri; Gadiformes; Gadidae
Exons: 2
Source: RefSeq, a predicted model, not a curated record
GCCCGACCGAUAUUGAUUUUUGAGUGCCGAUGCCGAGGCCGAUUAUUUUCAGAGAAAAAUUACGAUUACGAUUUAAUCGGCCGAUUAAAAACAAAACAAAAAAAAGCAUAUAAAACGUAGUUUUUGAUUCAUUAAAUAUACUUUAAACACUUUUGACGAAUAUGUGAAUUGAAUGCAGAACCUUUGAGUGUUUUAGAAUACAUUUACAGUCAAAAAUUAGUGUAAUGUAAAAUGUAAAAUAAAUAACUAACUCCCAAUCUGCUGCGCUCGUGGGCAGUGACUAACACGUGUGUGCUGAGCAGUAUGGUCUCACCGUUAGAGUCUACAGUAUAACAAAUUAACAUGGCCUGGGACCUAAAGAAAAACAGGCACAACAUGCUCAAACAACGCGUCUUGUGUACAUUGGUUUGGUGAGCGCGCAGCUGCCUGAGCGAGCGUGCUUUCAUGUUGUACGGUAAAAUUCAAUCUCCUCUUUUUUACUCCAGCUAAAGUUGUUAGUUAGCAAGGCGAGUAUGAGCGCAAUCUGCAGGAUACUAAGCGCAAUAACAUUUCUAAAAAAAAGAAAAAAAAAUCGGCUAUAAUCGGCCGAUUAAAUCGGCAGGCCGAUGAAUCGGUCGGGCCCUAGUA